RNAcentral lists this small nucleolar RNA (154 nucleotides) under Ornithorhynchus anatinus (platypus). Lineage: Eukaryota; Metazoa; Chordata; Mammalia; Monotremata; Ornithorhynchidae. The record is from RNAcentral.
CCCCUCUCAGGAUUGCACCUGGAGAGUUUCCGAUACUCUAUCAGUCUCGGCUACUGGAGGGAGAGUCAAGCAGAGGCUGAGUCAAGCAGAGGCCUACCCAUUCCACUUCUAGCUUAAGAAGUGGUUAGUAAGUGGAAGACAAUCUGCUACAAGU